RNAcentral lists this ribosomal RNA (260 nucleotides) under uncultured bacterium. RNAcentral describes it as "partial 16S ribosomal RNA". It matches the Rfam family "Bacterial small subunit ribosomal RNA", at positions 524 to 776 of the family's 1533-position model. The record is from RNAcentral.
GACGAACCGUACGAACGUUAUUCGGAAUCGACUGGGCUUAAAGGGUGCGUAGGCGGCGCGACAAGUUGGGUGUGAAAUCCCUCGGGCUCAACCGAGGAACUGCGCCCAAAACUGUCGUGCUCGAGGGAGACAGAGGUGAGCGGAACUUAGGGUGGAAGCGGUGAAAUGCGUUGAUAUCCUAAAGGACACCGGUGGCGAAAGCGGCUCACUGGGUCGUCUUCUGAACGGCUGAGGCACGGAAAGCUAGGGUAGCGAACGGG